Oncorhynchus keta (chum salmon) is the source of this 5186-nucleotide long non-coding RNA. RefSeq lists it as uncharacterized. The transcript has 3 exons. Lineage: Eukaryota; Metazoa; Chordata; Actinopteri; Salmoniformes; Salmonidae. The record is from RefSeq and is a predicted model, not a curated record.
UGAACAUGGUUCCAUUUCACUUUUGUUACAACAGAUCGAUAGUUGCAUUUCAAGCUAUUUAAAGAGAAGGAGAAGUAUGAAAGGGGAAAGUGAUGACAAUGGGGAGGAAGAGGAAGAGGAGCAGGAGGAAGAGGGCAUGGUCUGUGUAAACGGAUAGCAGCAAAACUGCCAUGCUAAGUGAAAGAGAGAACCACACUGACCUCGCAGCAACAUUUCACUUCAUAAAUAUAAAAACGAUAGAAAUACAUCAACAGGUAAACAAACAACAAAAGUCCACUUCAGUAGUGAUAAUGAAUGACAGGUAGUCAGUCCACUUCAGUAGUGAUAAUGAAUGACAGGUAGCCAGUCCACUUCAGUAGUGAUAAUGAAUGACAGGUAGCCAGUCCACUUCAGUAGUGAUAAUGAAUGACAGGUAGCCAGUCCACUUCAGUAGUGAUAAUGAAUGACAGGUAGUCAGUCCACUUCAGUAGUGAUAAUGAAUGACAGGUAGCCAGUCCACUUCAGUAGUGAUAAUGAAUGACAGGUAGCCAGUCCACUUCAGUAGUGAUAAUGAAUGACAGGUAGCCAGUCCACUUCAGUAGUGAUAAUGAAUGACAGGUAGUCAGUCCACUUCAGUAGUGAUAAUGAAUGACAGGUAGCCAGUCCACUUCAGUAGUGAUAAUGAAUGUAUAUUUAAAGAAUUCCAGAAUGUAGGAAAGUUAUUGGGUGUUAGUAACUGGGCUGUUGCAUCGUGACGUCUUGAGGGUUGUUUGAGCUAUUAAUGUUUGUUUUGUAACAUUUGUAUCCACCUGUAUAAUAACAGUAAUGUAAUCACAUGUUGUUACAGUAUAUCCAGUUGAAUGUUACUCCUUGUCAGAUGAGGGAAAACAACAUAACAUUACUAUAGUGUGAAGCUACAGCAGAGGAGAGACUAGUAUUUAACUAAACUAAAUAUCCCCCAAAACACAAAAUACACAACAUAUACUUAAUCAUAUAUAAGCAUAUAAGCCUCUGGUAGUUAAACUGCGCCAUCACCAUCAUUUGCAAAAGUGCAUCCUCUUUCAUCACAUACAAAUAUUUAAAACAUCUUCUUAACUGUUCUUAUUCCUUUGUCCUGGUUAUUUUUCCUGAGUUUUACAAACAGCUCCUUUGAUUCCAUCGUUCAGUCACUGAGGACUUACAGUACCAGUCAAAAGUCUGGACACACCUACUCAUUCAAGGGUUUUUCUUUAUUUGUACUAUUUUCUACAUUGUAGAAUAAUAGUGAAGACAUCAAAACUAUGAAAUAACACAAAUGGAAUCAUGUAGUAACCAGAAAAGUUUUAAAGAAAUUAAAAUAUAUUUUAUAUUUGAGAAUAUUCAAAGUAGCCACCCUUUGCCUUGAUGACAGCUUUGCACACUUUUGACAUUCUCUCAACCAACUUCAUGAGGUAGUCACCUGGAAUGCAUUUCAAUUAACAGGUGUGCCUUGUUAAAAGUUAAUUUGUGGAAUUUCUUUCCUUCUUAAUGCAUUUGAGGCGAAUCAGUUGUGUUGUGACAAGUUAGGGGUGGUAUAGAGAAGAUAGCCCUUUUUGGUAAAAGACCAAGUCCAUAUUAUAGCAAGAACAGAUCAAUUAAGAAAAGAGAAACGACAGUCCAUCAUUACUUUAAGACAUGAAGGUCAGUCAACACGGAUAAUUUUGAGAACUUUGAAAGUUUCUUCAAGUCCAGUCGCUGAAACCAUCAAGCGCUGUGAUGAAACUUGCUCUCAUGAGGACUGCCACAGGAAAGGAAGACCAAGAGUUACCUCUGCUGCAGAGGAUAAGUUCAUUAGAGUUACCAGCCUCAGAAAUUGCAGCCCAAAUAAAUGCUUCACAGAGUUCAAGUAACAGACACAUCUCAACAUCAACUGUUCAGAGGAGACUGCAUGAAUCAGGCCAUCAUGGUUGAAUUGCUGCAAAGAAACCCCUACUAAAGGACACCAAUAAGAAGAAGAGACUUGCUUGGGCCAAGAAAUAUGAGCAAUGGACAUUAGACCGGUGGAAAUCUGUCCUUUGGUCUGAUGAGUCCAAAUGUGAGAUUUUUGGUUCCAAACGCCAUGUCUUUGUGAAACACAGAGUAGGUGAACAGAUGAUCUCUGUAUGUGUGGUUCCCACCGUAAAGCAUGGAUGAGAUGGUGUGGGGAUGCUUUUCUGGUGACACUGUCAGUGAUUUACUUACAAUUCAAGGCACACUUAACCAGCAUGGCUACCACAGCAUUCUGCAGCGAUACGCCAUUGCUGAUUUUCAACAGGACAAUGACCCAACACACCUCCAGGCUGUGUAAGGCCUAUUUGACCAAGAAGGAGAGUGAUGUAGGGCUGCAUCAGAUGACCUGGCCUCCACACUCACCUCACCUCAACCCAAUUUAGAUGGUUUGGGAUGAGUUGGAUCGCAGAGUGAAGGAAAAAGCAGCCAACAAGUGUUCAGUGUGUGUGGGAACUCCUUCAAGACUGUUGGAAAAGCAUUCCAGGUGAAGCUGGUUGAGAGAAUGCCAAGAGUGUGCAAAGCUGUCAUCAAGGUAAAUGGUGGCUACUUUGAAGUAUCUCAAAUAUAAAAUAUUUUUUGAUUUGUUUAAAACUUUUUUGUUUACAUAAUUCCAUAUGUGUUAUUUUAUAGUUGUGAUGUAUUCACUAUUAUUCCACAAUGUAGAAAAUAGUAAAAAAUAAAGAAAAACCUUUUAAUGAGUAAGUGUGUCCAAACUUCUGACUGGUACUGUAUAUUGAUCUCAUCUUUCUAUUGUGUUUUGUUUAUUUUUAUGCACCGUGCCCCUCUUCCUGUGUCGUUCAACCACUGUUUAGUGUUCUCUGUCUGUACAUGAAAGUAGAGUAGAAGAAGACUUCUCUGUCUGUACAUGAAAGUAGAGUAGAAGAAGAAGAACAAGAGGAGACCCAAAGGGAGAAGUGGAGACAAAACAAUAGAACUGUGGCGAAGGGAAAGGUACUGUAAUUGCUUCCACAGCUCUUAGUAGUCUUGGCUUUGGUGAGCUUGUAUUUGUUCACCACUGGGUCAUCUUGGAAACAAAUCUAAAGAGUAGAAGGCAGAAAAACAACAUUUGAUGAACAAGGUCGAGGCAGACAGAGGUUAAAGGACGCCAUAUCCGAUCAAAUCCGUUUAGCCCGCAGAGGAUUUAGCCAGUUACCAUGGCCGUGGCCUGGGUCGUCUCCUUGGUGAUGGAGGCUAACCACAGAUCUAGGAUCAGAUUCCCCUUACCCCCAACCCUAACCAUACAAGGGUGACAAGAUAUUUGACCAUGUCUUAAUGGUUAGGGUAAAGGUCUACCUACUUCAGGGUCGUAUUCAUUACUGCACACCGUAGCAUAAUGUUUUGCAGCGGAAAAUGAAAACAAGCCUUUCUUAUUGGACAAGUCCAGGUAGUCCCUCCCAGGUAAGGUUGUUUUGAGGUUGGAUCUGGGUGAUUUAGGUUCGAGGUUCCAUGUUCUAGACCUGGGUGGAGAAUGAGCGUCGGAGAGGGGGCCGCCCCUCAGGGUGGGCGGGGCAGGGGGCGUGGUGCUCAGAGAUGGAGGGCAGGUCUAGACUUCGCUGGAGAUGAAGCGCCGCGAGGGGAGGAGCACAUCGGGAGGGACGGGGCACAGGUAUGGCUGAUGGUCAUGUGAUCUCAGUGUACGGUAGUCUUGGAACCUGGGGGAGGAGAGAGAAGGAGAGAACAAGGUUAGGAGGCAAGAAGGAUAGGAAUGUGUUAAAGAAUUAGUAGUACAGGGUGACUGAGAUUUAAAGAGGUAGAGGUCUGUUUUGGGAGGGGACAAAAGGUUUAGACAGAUCGGGUUUCAUAAAGCUGGAAAGGGGGAGGAUAUUAUUACUGAACAGUAUAAUCUAUUUAAAUUUGUUUUAUCCAGGUUAAUAAUUAGGGAUAUGGGGGUUAACCAGGCGAGAGAACACAUAUAGCAACCAAACCAAUAAACUAAAGAGUAGAGGUCGACCGAUUAUGAUUUUUCAGCGCCGAUACCGAUUCCGAUAAUUGGAGGACCAAAAAAGCCGAUACCGAUUAAUCGGACGUUUUUUUUAAAUGUAUUUGUAAUAAUGACAAUUACAACAAUACUGAAUGAACACUUAUUUUAACUUAAUAUAAUACAUCAAUAAAAAUGUAUUUAGCCCCAAAUAAAUAAUGAAACAUGUACAAUUUGGUUUAAAUAAUGCAAAAACAAAGUGUUGGAGAAGUAAAAGUGCCAUAUGUGCCAUGUAAAAAAGCUAACGUUUGAGUUCCUUGCUCAGAACAUGAGAACAUAUUAAAGUUGGUGGUUCCUUUUAACAUGAGACUUCAAUAUUCCAAGGUAAGAGGGUUUAGGUUGUACUUAAUAUAGUAUUUUUAAAAUGUAAUUUAUUUCAUAUACCUUUGGCAAUUGGAUGUUCUUAUAGGCACUAUAGUAUUGCCAGUGUAACAGUAUAGCUUCCGUCCCUCUUCUCACCCCUACCUGGGCUCGAACCAGGAACACAUCGACAACAGCCACACUCGAAGCAGCGUUACCCUUGCAGAGCAAGGGGAACAACUACUCCAAGUCUCAGAGCAAGUGACGUUUGAAACGCUAUUAGCGCGCACCCCGCUAACUAGCUAGCCAUUUCACAUUGGUUACACCAGCCAUUACGCCGAUAGGCUUGAAGUCAUAAACAGAGCUGUGCUUGCGAAGAGCUGCUGGCAAAACGCACAAAAGUGCUGUUUGAAUGAAUGCUUACGAGCCUGCUGCUGCCUACCAUUGCUCAGUCAGACUGCUCUAUCAAAUCAUAGACUUAAUUAUAACAUAACACACAGAAAUACGAGCCUUUGGUCAUUAAUAUGGUAGAAUCCGGAAACUAUCAUUUCAAAAACAAAACGUUUAUUAUUUCAGUGAAAUACGGAACCGUUCGGUAUUUUAUCUAAUCGGUGGCAUCCCUAAAUCUAAAUAUUCCUGUUACAUUGCACAACCUUCAAUGUUAUGUCAUAAUUACGUAAUAUUCUGGCAAAUUAGUUCGCAAUGAGCUGCCCAAACUGUUGCAAAUACCCUAACUCUGCGUGCAAUGAACACCAGAGAAAUGACACAAUUUCACCAGGUUAAUAUUGCCUGCUAACCUGGAUUUCUUUUAGCUAAAUAUGCAGGUUUAAAAAUAUAUACUUCUGUGUAUUAAUUUUAAGAAAGGCAUUGGUGUUUAUGGUUAGGUCCAGUCAUCCCAAUGAUUGUGCUUUUUUCGCAAAUG